GGCCACCAGUUUUGCCACUCCAGAGAAAGGAUUCCUCUUUGUCUAGAUGAUCCAGCCAAAGUCUGAGGGUGGAAUCUCAUUUCCAGGUGUGUCAUCUGAAUUCCCAGAGCAAAGCAAAGCACAGUGGCCAGGCCUGGAGCCAAAAGGCGAGGUCAGCCCCACUCAAACCACAUGAACUGACAGGAUGGCAAUGGCGUCUUAAGGGAAAAUUAGGGUGCUGCUAUCGAAAGAAGGGGGGCCAGAUGCUGAGGAGGCACUCAGGAGCUCUUUCCGAUCACCACAGCAGAAAGAAGAUGGUACGUCUUCAUGCGGGCUUUUGCAUAGGGCUGCUUACGCUUCCCCACAGUAUGGCAGCUGUGUUCUAACAGUAGAGAAGGUAAACAGCUGAGGAAUGAUCCAUGGGUGAAGACUGGGAGUCCAUGGGGGGCUUUGUAUCUGGAGGAAGAGGUAUGGAGUGAGAAGGCGAUGACCCAGAGUCCCGGGGGAGAGCAGAGGCUGUGUGCAUGGUGUCUACAGACUGCAAAUAAACACCCAAAACGGAGAGAAUGGGACAGAAAGAGCACUUGGUUUGGAGUAAAACAGAGAUGGGUCUACCUUCUAGCUCUGUCACUUACCAGCUGCAUGACCUUGGAGAAUUCACAUCAUCUCUUUGAGUCUCUUUCAUCUAUAAAAUGGGAAUAAUAGUAUCUACCUUGUGGUAUAAAGUAGUGCUUAAGUGUUUAGCACCUGGAGCCAGACUGCAAUCUAUUAGCUGUAUGGCCUUUGGAAACCUGUUUUGUAAAACAGAUUUAUGGAGGUAUGACUGUCAUAAAAUAAACUGCAUAUGUUCAAAGCAUACAAUUUUAUAAGUUUCGACAUAUGUAAACACACGUGAGACCAUCACCACCACCAAGGUAAUGAACACACCCAUCCCCUCCCA
Molecule: long non-coding RNA, 919 nt
Organism: Orcinus orca (killer whale)
Lineage: Eukaryota; Metazoa; Chordata; Mammalia; Artiodactyla; Delphinidae
Exons: 3
Source: RefSeq, a predicted model, not a curated record